AGCGGCAAAAGCUCAAAUUUGAAAUCUGGCACCUUCGGUGUCCGAGUUGUAAUUUGAAGAAGGUAACUUUGGAGUUGGCUCUUGUCUAUGUUCCUUGGAACAGGACGUCACAGAGGGUGAGAAUCCCGUGCGAUGAGAUGCCCAAUUCUAUGUAAAGUGCUUUCGAAGAGUCGAGUUGUUUGGGAAUGCAGCUCUAAGUGGGUGGUAAAUUCCAUCUAAAGCUAAAUAUUGGCGAGAGACCGAUAGCGAACAAGUACAGUGAUGGAAAGAUGAAAAGAACUUUGAAAAGAGAGUGAAAAAGUACGUGAAAUUGUUGAAAGGGAAGGGCUUGAGAUCAGACUUGGUAUUUUGCGAUCCUUUCCUUCUUGGUUGGGUUCCUCGCAGCUUACUGGGCCAGCAUCGGUUUGGAUGGUAGGAUAAUGACUAAGGAAUGUGGCUCUACUUCGGUGGAGUGUUAUAGCCUUGGUUGAUACUGCCUGUCUAGACCGAGGACUGCGUCUU
Molecule: ribosomal RNA, 501 nt
Filed under: Debaryomyces hansenii
Lineage: Eukaryota; Fungi; Ascomycota; Pichiomycetes; Serinales; Debaryomycetaceae
Description: partial large subunit ribosomal RNA
Rfam family: Eukaryotic large subunit ribosomal RNA
Source: RNAcentral